AAUUUCAACAACGGAUUUUUGGUUUGGCAUCAAUAAAGACCCCUCGACUGCAAUAGUAGUUUAAAUGAAGAAUCCAGGGAUUCAUCGAUUUUUGAAAGCACAUUGCCCCCUUGGUAUUCCCUGGGGCAGCCUGUUCGAGCGUCAUUG
Molecule: ribosomal RNA, 147 nt
Filed under: Didymella microchlamydospora
Lineage: Eukaryota; Fungi; Ascomycota; Dothideomycetes; Pleosporales; Didymellaceae
Description: 5.8S ribosomal RNA
Source: RNAcentral